Epinephelus moara (kelp grouper) is the source of this 891-nucleotide long non-coding RNA. RefSeq lists it as uncharacterized. The record is from RefSeq and is a predicted model, not a curated record. NCBI's taxonomy places the organism in Eukaryota, Metazoa, Chordata, Actinopteri, Perciformes, Serranidae. The transcript has 3 exons.
GUGUAGCUGAUUGUCAGGUGAGUUCAGACGGGUGAGUUCAGACAGGUGAGUUAAGACAGGUGUAGCUGAUAGUCAGGUGAGUUCAGACAGGUGAGAUCAGACAGGUGGGUUAAGACAGAUGUAGCUGAUUGUCAGGUGAGGUCAGACAGGUGUAGCUGAUUGUCAGGUGAGUUCAGACGGGUGAGUUCAGACAGGUGAGUUAAGACAGGUGUAGCUGAUAGUCAGGUGAGUUCAGACAGGUGAGAUCAGACAGGUGGGUUAAGACAGAUGUAGCUGAUUGUCAGGUGAGGUCAGACAGGUGUAGCUGAUUGUCAGGUGAGUUCAGACGGGUGAGUUCAGACAGGUGAGUUAAGACAGGUGUAGCUGAUUGUCAGGUGAGUUCAGACAGGUGAGUUCAGACAGGUGAGUUAAGACAGGUGUAGCUGAUUGUCAGGUGAGUUCAGACAGGUGAGUUCAGACAGGUGAGUUAAGACAGGUGCAGCUGAUAGUCAGGUGAGUUCAGACAGGUGAGUUAAGACAGGUGCAGCUGAUUGUCAGGUGAGUUCAGACAGGUGAGGUCAUACAGGUGAGGUCAGACAGGUGAGUUCAGACAGGUGAGUUAAGACAGGUGUAGCUGAUUGUCAGGUGAGUUCAGACAGGUGAGGUCAUACAGGUGAGGUCAGACAGGUGUAGCUGAUUGUCAGGUGAGGUCAGACAGGUGUAGCUGGUUGGUCUCUUGUGUCUCAGGUAUAUCAGUGUGAAUAUUUGGCAGUUGUAUCUGUUUGCGGUGUUUUAUUACGAUGGUCAGUGUCAGUUGUUGAUCAGUGUUAAAUAUCAGGUGAACUUGGUGGCGGUGAUGCGUUAUCACAUCAUAAAGGUAUUAAUCAGUAUUGACAGGUUAUUGAUCACCUG